UCAGGAUGAACGCUGGCGGCGUGCCUAAUACAUGCAAGUCGAACGAGUUCUCGUUGAUGAUCGGUGCUUGCACCGAGAUUCAACAUGGAACGAGUGGCGGACGGGUGAGUAACACGUGGGUAACCUGCCCUUAAGUGGGGGAUAACAUUUGGAAACAGAUGCUAAUACCGCAUAGAUCCAAGAACCGCAUGGUUCUUGGCUGAAAGAUGGCGUAAGCUAUCGCUUUUGGAUGGACCCGCGGCGUAUUAGCUAGUUGGUGAGGUAAUGGCUCACCAAGGCGAUGAUACGUAGCCGAACUGAGAGGUUGAUCGGCCACAUUGGGACUGAGACACGGCCCAAACUCCUACGGGAGGCAGCAGUAGGGAAUCUUCCACAAUGGACGCAAGUCUGAUGGAGCAACGCCGCGUGAGUGAAGAAGGCUUUCGGGUCGUAAAACUCUGUUGUUGGAGAAGAAUGGUCGGCAGAGUAACUGUUGUCGGCGUGACGGUAUCCAACCAGAAAGCCACGGCUAACUACGUGCCAGCAGCCGCGGUAAUACGUAGGUGGCAAGCGUUAUCCGGAUUUAUUGGGCGUAAAGCGAGCGCAGGCGGUUUUUUAAGUCUGAUGUGAAAGCCCUCGGCUUAACCGAGGAAGCGCAUCGGAAACUGGGAAACUUGAGUGCAGAAGAGGACAGUGGAACUCCAUGUGUAGCGGUGAAAUGCGUAGAUAUAUGGAAGAACACCAGUGGCGAAGGCGGCUGUCUGGUCUGUAACUGACGCUGAGGCUCGAAAGCAUGGGUAGCGAACAGGAUUAGAUACCCUGGUAGUCCAUGCCGUAAACGAUGAAUGCUAGGUGUUGGAGGGUUUCCGCCCUUCAGUGCCGCAGCUAACGCAUUAAGCAUUCCGCCUGGGGAGUACGACCGCAAGGUUGAAACUCAAAGGAAUUGACGGGGGCCCGCACAAGCGGUGGAGCAUGUGGUUUAAUUCGAAGCAACGCGAAGAACCUUACCAGGUCUUGACAUCUUUUGAUCACCUGAGAGAUCAGGUUUCCCCUUCGGGGGCAAAAUGACAGGUGGUGCAUGGUUGUCGUCAGCUCGUGUCGUGAGAUGUUGGGUUAAGUCCCGCAACGAGCGCAACCCUUAUGACUAGUUGCCAGCAUUUAGUUGGGCACUCUAGUAAGACUGCCGGUGACAAACCGGAGGAAGGUGGGGAUGACGUCAAAUCAUCAUGCCCCUUAUGACCUGGGCUACACACGUGCUACAAUGGAUGGUACAACGAGUUGCGAGACCGCGAGGUCAAGCUAAUCUCUUAAAGCCAUUCUCAGUUCGGACUGUAGGCUGCAACUCGCCUACACGAAGUCGGAAUCGCUAGUAAUCGCGGAUCAGCACGCCGCGGUGAAUACGUUCCCGGGCCUUGUACACACCGCCCGUCACACCAUGAGAGUUUGUAACACCCGAAGCCGGUGGCGUAACCCUUUUAGGGAGCGAGCCGUCUAAGGUGGGACAAAUGAUUAGGGUGAAGUCG
RNAcentral lists this ribosomal RNA (1502 nucleotides) under Lactobacillus sp. RNAcentral describes it as "bacterial SSU rRNA". It matches the Rfam family "Bacterial small subunit ribosomal RNA". RNAcentral also lists the same sequence under 1 other name. Lineage: Bacteria; Bacillati; Bacillota; Bacilli; Lactobacillales; Lactobacillaceae. The record is from RNAcentral.